AACGGGUGAGUAACACGUGAGUAACCUGCCCUUCACUCUGGGAUAACGUCGGGAAACCGGGGCUAAUACCGGAUACGACCACUGAUGACAUCUUCUGGUGGUGGAAAGAAUUUCGGCCAAGGAUGGGCCCGCGGCCUAUCAGCUUGUUGGUGGGGUAAUGGCCUACCAAGGCGACGACGGGUAGCCGGCCUGAGAGGGCGACCGGCCACACUGGGACUGAGACACGGCCCAGACUCCUACGGGAGGCAGCAGUGGGGAAUAUUGCGCAAUGGGCGAAAGCCUGACGCAGCGACGCCGCGUGAGGGAUGAAGGCCUUCGGGUUGUAAACCUCUUUCAGCAGGGACGAAGCGAAAGUGACGGUACCUGCAGAAGAAGCACCGGCCAACUACGUGCCAGCAGCCGCGGUAAUACGUAGGGUGCAAGCGUUGUCCGGAAUUAUUGGGCGUAAAGAGCUCGUAGGCGGUUUGUCGCGUCGGCUGUGAAAACCUGAGGCUCAACCUCGGGCCUGCAGUCGAUACGGGCAAACUAGAGUUCGGUAGGGGAGACUGGAAUUCCUGGUGUAGCGGUGGAAUGCGCAGAUAUCAGGAGGAACACCGGUGGCGAAGGCGGGUCUCUGGGCCGAAACUGAC
RNAcentral lists this ribosomal RNA (629 nucleotides) under uncultured soil bacterium. Its description in RNAcentral is "bacterial SSU rRNA". It matches the Rfam family "Bacterial small subunit ribosomal RNA", at positions 101 to 744 of the family's 1533-position model. The record is from RNAcentral.